CUGUAGGCCGUGGUGGAGAACACUAGCAUGGUGCCUGCAUGACACUUCUUAUUAACAAAUGGUAUCUUUGUUUGAAUAUCCGCAGCUCGUGUAACUGUAGAAGGGCCACGUCCUGAAAAAGAAGGGGCACGUGCCAAGUGGCUCGGUUAUGUGGAGCAAACGCUGCAAGUGGAGGAGGAGAACUCUCCCCCGUUCAUUUUUGACAAACUGAUUUAGAAUAUGGUCUAGAAAUAAACAGAUUUACUUCAUGAAGACUAAAACAGAGCUUUACAAGGACCGGGCAGAAAAUCGCAAUCUAAAGACUGGUGCAGAUGCUGAGCAGGAUGCUGCUAUUAAACUUGCCCAAGAACGAGCAGAGAUAGUUGCCAAGUAUGACAGAGGACGGGAGGGUGCGCAGAUUGAGCCAUGGGAAGAUGCUGACUACCGUCUUUACAAAGUCACAGAUAGAUUUGGGUUUCUACAUCCAGAGGAGCUUCCUGUCCAUGAUGCAGUGAUAGAAAAGCAAAAACACCUUGAAAUUGAAAGAACUACAAAAUGGCUUAAGAUGUUGAAAAGCUGGGAAAAAUACAAGAAUAGUGAAAAGUUUCAUAGGAGAAUUUAUAAAGGAAUCCCACUGCAGUUCAGAGGGCAAGUCUGGUCUUUACUACUUGACGUCCCUAAAAUGAAAGAAGAAAUGAAAGACUUUUAUAAUAAAUUGAAGUGUCAAGCACGAGGGUCUUCACCAGAUAUUAGGCAAAUUGAUCUUGAUGUAAAUCGAACCUACAGAGAUCAUAUCAUGUUUCGAGACAGAUACGGUGUUAAGCAACAAUCUUUAUUCCAUGUUUUAGCUGCAUAUUCCAUAUAUAAUACGGAAGUUGGAUACUGUCAGGGAAUGAGCCAGAUCACAGCUUUACUCCUUAUGUACAUGAAUGAAGAAGAUGCCUUCUGGGCCUUGGUGAAACUUCUCUCUGGUCCAAAGCAUGCUAUGCACGGUUUUUUUAUUCCUGGUUUUCCAAAACUGUUGAGGUUUCAAGAACAUCAUGACAAAAUACUGAAAAAAUUUUUGUCCAAACUUAAGCAGCAUAUGGACUCCCAGGAUAUGUCCACUAGCUUUUACACAACAAAGUGGUUUUUCCAGUGUUUCCUUGAUCGUACUCCCUUUACGUUAAGCCUCAGGAUAUGGGAUAUCUACAUACUUGAAGGAGAGCGGAUUCUCACUGCUAUGUCUUACACAAUUCUGAAACUACACAGAAAGCAUCUGAUGAAAUUACAAAUGGAAGAGCUUGUAGAAUUUCUGCAGGAGUCUUUAGCCAAGGAUUUCUUCUAUGAAGAUGACUUUGUAAUAGACCAGCUCCAAAAUUCUAUAUCAGAAUUGAAACGAGCAAAGCUGGAUUUACCAGUAGCUGGUAAAGAAGAUGAAUUUCCAAAGAAGCCAUUGGGGCAGAUUCCAUCAGGACCUCAGCCUGCUAUGCUUAACUCCACUCCAAUGCUUAACGGACAGAACAGCACUGGUACACAAACAACAAGGAGGACAGAGAGGAGACCAUCCCCAGGAGAAGAACCAGAAAGUUCACUAAACAACCGAAAAAGAAUCGAUUCACUGGAAAAGAAACCUCCCUUAAAACAGCAGAAGGCUCGACCAGUAGAGACACAAAGUAGCGUGCCUAAGAACGAGAUAGAUACCAGAAGAAAGCCUCAGCCAAUAGAGCAAGACAACUCGAGACAGUAUAAUAAUGCAGCUGCUAAUCAAAAUUCUAAUGCUACUUCAAAUACAAGAAGGGAAUUUGUACCUAAGUGGAAUAAACCAUCUGAUCCAAAAAUUAUUGAAAAGACAAUGAAACUUGCUGCAGAGGUGAAAGGAAGGCCGGUAAACCAUUCAGUUUCAGGCCCACCACCAAGUCCUGGAGAAACUCAGCCUUUGAAUGUAAAGCAAAAGAUGAGGGUUUUGGAUGCUGAUGAAGGUAAGCGGGGGUCUAAUGCAUCUCAGUAUGACAAUGUUCCAGAAGUUGAGAAUGAGAAUGAGAAUCUUGUUGAAGAGAUGCUUGAGAGAGCUCAUCCACAGAGUCCUAGGCAUGUAGCAUAUUCUAAUAGUCCAAGAAAGCAAACUGAAAAAAUACCAACUCCAUUAAAAAUACCCAAUAAUUACACCUUGACUUCACAACCCAGAUCUCCAAAAUAUCCAUCACAAUCUGAUGGACCACCUCAUGGACUGAAUGUAAAACAGCCACUGCCAUGUUAUAGUAAUCCACCUACUUACCAUGGAAAUUCUCCAAAGCAUGUUUCCAGUGUAGGCAAUACAAGUUCUGUACCUCUACAUUACCCUGGGAAUCGAACCAGCCCUUUUGGUAGGCCAUAUGGUUCUUUUAUUUCAGUAGAUUAUUCUCCCGAUAAACUACAAAUGAAUUCUUAUCCUCCCAGUCGCCAAAAUCCUCUUUCACCAACCCCUGGUCAGAUAGAAGUAGCCCCUGUCGAUGCUUAUACCAGCAACUCGAGGUCCCCCACGGGUGUCAAAUUCAUAAUCCCUCCAGUGGAUUAUUUACCAGAAGAUAGAAAGUGGCCAGAUGCUGCGUAUGUUUACAGACACGAACCCUACAGGCAGCCCUGGAGCCAAGACGGCAACAAAGGCCACAUGGAUAAUUUCCAGAAAUACCAACAUUUUCAGUCAACACCUUUUCAAGACCAUAGUCUUCCUGCUGUUUCUGUGGAUAGUCCAAUAAGAUACAGGACUUCACCAACCUUUGAAGAGCACGGUUCACCACAAUACCAAUAUUCAAGCCCAUCAGCUCAAGCCCAGCACUAUCGAAAUAGAAAUGAUGGAUUGUCUAUGCAUGAAUCUGUGCUUCUCUGAGAAUCUGUCUGUACUUAGUAAAAUGGCAAGAACCAAAACCAGUUAAACAUUACUGCGUUAGUAGUAGUCCACCUCAGUUCUUUGAUGAAAUGCAGACAGUUCGCGUGACUCUCAAAAAUAACAACACUAUUUCGAAGAUGUUUCAGACUUUCAUUGAAGGCUAGUUGAGUUCUUGGACUUGCAUUGAAGCUAUUGAAAGUGAUCUGAUGCACGUAGACAUAGCAAUAAGAUCAUAUAUAUGACGUGGUUAAUGCUGUCAUCCUUCCUUACAUUUAAAUAACUUGUGUUACCAUCUUUCUGCCUAAAACCUGUAACACAUUUACAACUUCUAUUUUGACUGACAUUGUUAAUGCACUGUAUAGAUGUGUGUGUGUGUGUGCGCGCGUGUGAGUGUGCACUUACAAUACACAAACGCAUAUGGAAAGGAGCUAAAGAGUUUAAAUGUAAAUGCAUUUAACUUUGGGCAAAGCUUGUGAAGUACUUUUAUUUCAUAUUAAUUUUUCUUUGUAAUUUAUUUCAGAAGCCAUUCGUUUUGAAUGGGAAUUUCUGUCGUUUUUAUACAGCUGCCUCAGCAUCCCAGUAUCUGUUCUGGGCAAGAGAGAUGCUUUGGGAUUAUUAUUUAAUCUUAUGUGAGAGUUAAUUUCCUCUCCUUUGACUACUGUUUGUCAUUUUCCUCAGCAAGAAGGAGCAGGCAGGCAAAAGCAGAAAGCCAAAAAUGUCUCUCUAAUCUGGCUAAGAUAUGGUGCUUAAAAUUCAGGGCAGUGUUUAGUUUUUUAGGUUGCAUCGAAAGUGGAGAAUUUUUACCUUCUCACCCAAAUCUACCUUCAGAAUGUCGUCCUAUAUGCAAACUAUUGGAGCACAGCGAGAGUAAUGCCAGAUACAGAAAUGGUGCUGCACCCUUCGCUUUUUGCCAUGCUGUUCUGUCAAACUAAACAAACCGGUUGCAGGGCCAAAUCUCACCGGUAUCAGAGAAUGACCAGCUCCUCGGCGCUCUAGUGAAGUACACGCAGGAGUCUGAGAUCUGGUCGAGGCUUGACAUUCCCUGAGCUGUAUCCAGCUGUGGCCUGUCUGUAACGCUUCAGGGAAGGUGACACACGAAAGAGAAAACCCAUUUAGCCAGAAGUCUAUUAAGGAGAGUAUUCCCCCUUAAUCCCUGCUGAUGACUACCUAAAGCCUCAAAGCAUGAUAUUGUCUGCAAUUGUUUGAGAAUGAUCAGACCGAUGUGUGGGCAAUCCAGUUUUUCCUUGGGCCAGGAAGGAAGGUCCUUCACACAUGUAAGCGUCGGUUACCUUCAUAACACCUGACAGCAGGAUUAAUCCCUUACUGUACAAGUAACCGCUCUAUCCUCGCUACUAAUAAAAGUUUCAAGACGAAUAGUAAGGGAUUUUUAGCAAUCUUGGAGGUUGCAGAAGAGAAAUAUCUUGUUGUUAGUCAAAGAUACACCUUUGUAAUAAACCACUCAAUAAUUCCAAAAUUAGAUGCAAAGAGUAAACAACAUCGAAAUGUCAGAAGACAGAACAGCCUUCCAGCGUGGGGAAGCAAAUCCAAAGCUUCCCUGAGGUACGUACACAUUUUCCAGGGAGAUUUCUCUCAAGAAUCCUAUCCUGAAUUUCACAUCAUCCUCAAUAUGACUUUGAAAUGGACUUGCAAAUUACAGACUUUUUUUUUUUUUUUAAUCUCCCCCUUGGGUGGCAUUACACUGCCUGCACAAAGAGGAAUACUAUUUAAAAUAUGCCAUCAAACACCCACCGUUUCAUUUCCAGCAGAGUACAUUCUGCUUUCAAUACUUCAGUCAGAGGAAAAUACAAUCUUUUUUUGUAGUCCUUUAAAUACCGCAUUUUUGUAAAGCUCUGUAAACGUAGCAUCGUUAAGCAGUUCCUGAACCAAGUGUGGUGUAGGCUCCUCUUUAGAUGGCAGAAAGCUACUGCGUAGUUUGCUGCAGGGUUGUUUUUUGUUUCUUUUGGGGGAAUAUUAAGAUAAUCCAAAUGCUUUUAACAGCAGAGUUGCAAUAAGGAAAUGACUAGGCCGGCAAUUGGAAUUGGAAACAGAAUUGCGGUUGUUUCAGGAUAGCCUUUAAGUGGUUGCCAAAUCUGGUGAGCUGGGGAAAGACCAUUUUCUGGUUCUUUGUGCCAAGAGGACUUCAUCCUGCAGCAGGGAGCGCGUGGGUCCCUCUCCCGAGCGAUUUGAUUCUCUCUGCUAACGACCGCCUGCCUUUGUGCUUACAGACUUGGUAUGUUAGAAAAUCAAUGGUGCUUUUAAAGAUCCAAACCCACACGUUCUGAAUAAUCUGAAAACGAACAGAUCUCGUCCUGACUUCCCUUUCUUCCUUUCUUUUCUCUUUUUGUAGUAUGUUUAUUUUUACUGAUGAUUUUAUUGUCAGCCUUGUCAAGGUGAGCUGUGCUUGAUUCUUCCAUCUCCUUACUUUGAUAAUCUGCCAACUCAUGUUUUUCAGAGGCUUUGUGAUGCCUUUUUGCUGCUUUUUUUUUUCUGCUGUUCAUUGAGAACAUGAUAAAGCAGUUAAUAUCAGGGGUUACUGUUUGCCUCUUCAGCUUUUCCUCUCUCCAGACAAUGUGCAAAUUAAAAAAAAAAAAAAAUCAUUUAUGUUCUCAAUAUUAUAGUUGGUCAGAAAUUCUCCGGAAAGGUUUUUUUUCUGACAGAAAGCAAUUUAAUUUAGCAACUGGUGAAGGACGCUGUAGUGUGGAGGCACUUGUACGGUCUCUGCAAUCCAAGCUCAUGAGUUGCUUCUGCUUGGUACCAAGCAACAAAAGCUGGAUUACACGCAGGGCUGAUCGAGCAUUCCUUUGUGAAAUGCUGUGCCGUGCCACGGAAACAUGCCAGCGCAGACUGGCGCUAGGUCAGGUGGAGCUACAACGUCCUUGGUUUGCUUAGGUAAAUGCCCCCUCGUUUCCUGAUCAUAUGUUGCUUUUGUCAGAUUUUAGGAAGAGAGGAAACGGCCUCAAGUUGCA
RNA transcript from Egretta garzetta (little egret), 5793 nucleotides. It is a transcript of the gene named USP6 N-terminal like, with no coding region annotated. The transcript has 15 exons. NCBI's taxonomy places the organism in Eukaryota, Metazoa, Chordata, Aves, Pelecaniformes, Ardeidae. The record is from RefSeq and is a predicted model, not a curated record.